AUACGUAGGGGGCGAGCGUUGUCCGGAAUGAUUGGGCGUAAAGGGCGCGUAGGCGGCCCGGUAAGUCUGGAGUGAAAGUCCUGUUUUUAAGAUGGGGAUUGCUUUGGAUACUGUCGGGCUUGAGUGCAGGAGAGGUAAGUGGAAUUCCCAGUGUAGCGGAAAUGCGUAGAGAUUGGGAGGAACACCAGUGGCGAAGGCGACUUACUGGACUGUAACUGACGCUGAGGCGCGAAAGUGUGGGGAGCAAACAGGGUUAGAUACCCUGGUAGUCCACACUGUAAACGAUGAAUGCUAGGUGUAGGGGGUAUCGACCCCUUCUGUGCCGCAGUCAACACAAUAAGCAUUCCGCCUGGGGAGUACGGCCGCAAGGUUGAAACUCAAAGGAAUUGACGGGG
Molecule: ribosomal RNA, 395 nt
Filed under: uncultured bacterium
Lineage: Bacteria
Description: partial 16S ribosomal RNA
Rfam family: Bacterial small subunit ribosomal RNA
Source: RNAcentral